This 490-nucleotide ribosomal RNA is filed under the name uncultured bacterium. RNAcentral's name for it is "partial 16S ribosomal RNA". It matches the Rfam family "Bacterial small subunit ribosomal RNA", at positions 30 to 507 of the family's 1533-position model. The record is from RNAcentral.
AUUGAACGCUGGCGGCAGGCCUAACACAUGCAAGUCGAAUGGUAACAGGAAACAGCUUGCUGUUUCGCUGACGAGUGGCGGACGGGUGAGUAAUGUCUGGGAAACUGCCUGAUGGAGGGGGAUAACUACUGGAAACGGUAGCUAAUACCGCAUAACGUCGCAAGACCAAAGAGGGGGACCUUCGGGCCUCUUGCCAUCAGAUGCGCCCAGAUGGGAUUAGCUAGUAGGUGGGGUAACGGCUCACCUAGGCGACGAUCCCUAGCUGGUCUGAGAGGAUGACCAGCCACACUGGAACUAAGACACGGUCCAGACUCCUACGGGAGGCAGCAGUGGGGAAUAUUGCACAAUGGGCGCAAGCCUGAUGCAGCCAUGCCGCGUGUAUGAAGAAGGCCUUCGGGUUGUAAAGUACUUUCAGCGGGGAGGAAGGGAGUAAAGUUAAUACCUUUGCUCAUUGACGUUACCCGCAGAAGAAGCACCGGCUAACUCCGUG